This 150-nucleotide ribosomal RNA is filed under the name Lentisphaeria bacterium. RNAcentral describes it as "partial 23S ribosomal RNA". It matches the Rfam family "Bacterial large subunit ribosomal RNA", at positions 2781 to 2925 of the family's 2925-position model. Lineage: Bacteria; Pseudomonadati; Lentisphaerota; Lentisphaeria. The record is from RNAcentral.
CUAAGCGCCAAGCCUGCCCGAAGAUUAGAUAUCCCUUAUACGUAAGUAUACUGAAGGCUGGUCGAAGACUACGACCUUGAUAGGUUGGAAAUGUAAGUGCUGCAAGGCAUUCAGUUAACCAAUACUAAUCAGCCGUGAGGCUUAAUCACC